Molecule: long non-coding RNA, 237 nt
Filed under: Ictidomys tridecemlineatus (thirteen-lined ground squirrel)
Lineage: Eukaryota; Metazoa; Chordata; Mammalia; Rodentia; Sciuridae
Description: lncRNA (ENSSTOG00000032989.1)
Source: RNAcentral
UGAAUUCCAAUGCUGAUUUUACUAUUUGUUCACUUGGGAAUUUACUUCGCUCUCUGAGCCUUGGUUUCCAGGUACAUACAAAAGUGAAAGGCAAAACCUGCAAGUUUCUCAAGCAGUGUCUUGGAGGAAGAGAUAUGUACCUAACAACAGAUGGAUUGAGAGAGCUUCAAACAGAGACACCAAUGUGGAAGCCUUUGCAGAGAUAUCCCAGUCUCCAUAUGCAAACCCAUCAAGAGG